Molecule: ribosomal RNA, 460 nt
Filed under: uncultured bacterium
Lineage: Bacteria
Description: partial 16S ribosomal RNA
Rfam family: Bacterial small subunit ribosomal RNA
Source: RNAcentral
CCUACGGGAGGCAGCAGUGAGGAAUAUUGGUCAAUGGACGCAAGUCUGAACCAGCCAUGCCGCGUGCAGGAAGACGGCUCUAUGAGUUGUAAACUGCUUUUGUACGAGGGUAAACGCAGAUACGCGUAUCUGUCUGAAAGUAUCGUACGAAUAAGGAUCGGCUAACUCCGUGCCAGCAGCCGCGGUAAUACGGAGGAUUCAAGCGUUAUCCGGAUUUAUUGGGUUUAAAGGGUGCGUAGGCGGUCGGAUAAGUUAGAGGUGAAAUCCCGAGGCUCAACUUCGGAAUUGCCUCUGAUACUGGUCGUCUAGAGAGUAGUUGCGGUAGGCGGAAUGUGUGGUGUAGCGGUGAAAUGCUUAGAGAUCAUACAGAACACCGAUUGCGAAGGCAGCUUACCAAGCUACUUCUGACGUUGAGGCACGAAAGCGUGGGGAGCAAACAGGAUUAGAUACCCGGGUAGUC